UCAAUUGAUUAGCUAGCUACAGUCCUCUGCUGGGUAGCAUUGAGCUAACUUUUAAGUUCAGGAUGGAAAUGUGGGAUACUUAUUUAUUUAAACAUGAAAGCAACCAUGUGUAUUAAUUUCAACACAUAAAUUGUCAAUAAUAAGACUAUAUUGAGAGAACUAUUGAUGAGAAAAUUGGGUUUAAAAUGACUGAGCUCGAUCUCCGUGUGUAUAACGUAGCAUCAAAAGCCACGUCCAGGGUGUGUGUCAAAUGUUUCACCAACACAUCAAUGCCUCCCGAUUGCAUGAGCACGAUGGACAAACAUCAAAGACCGUGAGAAUCAAGGCAUUCUGUUGGAUUCUCUGUCACAAGUGCAGAAUAGGUUCAACCAUUUCGACACGGACCCCAUCUUGGAUGCUGCCAAAAUCUUGGAUCCUACAGAGUGGCCCCGAAAUGAUGUUCCUGCUUUGGCACAGUAUGGGGGUGUGGAGCUUGAAACAUUAGCUGGCCAUUACUCAGCCUUCCUCCAGCCAAAAGGCUUUGAUGACCGGGAAGCAGGAAGAGAAUGGCCUGCAUUCAAGGCCUUUGUGUCAAGACAUCUACUGGACCAGCAUCUGCCAUAUCUGGAAAUGUGGAGGCACCUCUUCCUCAACUGCAAAGAUGACUUCCCGAACCUGUGUCUGCUGGCCGAAGUUGUAGUCACUUUCCCACUGAACACGGCCUGUUGCGAACGUGGCUUCAGCUAUAUGAAGAAGAUUAAGACUGAUUGGCGAUCCUCUCUGGACCCUGCCACUCUCAGCAUGUUGCUCAGGAUUACCCUUGGGGGGUGCGCCAUUGAGAACUUUGACCCAGAUAGGGCGGUGGAUGCCUUUUGGGCGAGGGAGGAGGGGCAGAGGGCCAGGAGGGCAGAAUACAUGGAAAGGCAGAGGGCCAGGAGGGACUGAAUGAAUUUUGGUACUACAGUAGACUAGUGUGGUUUAAUUGCAUCAAAAGUUCUACACUGUAUUAAAACAGGCUGCAGGCACAAUAUGAUGGAAUAAAAACAUAUGAAGGCAAAACUUAUAGUGUUGU
Long non-coding RNA from Syngnathus typhle (broad-nosed pipefish), 1051 nucleotides. RefSeq lists it as uncharacterized. The transcript has 3 exons. The record is from RefSeq and is a predicted model, not a curated record. Lineage: Eukaryota; Metazoa; Chordata; Actinopteri; Syngnathiformes; Syngnathidae.